This 420-nucleotide ribosomal RNA is filed under the name bacterium. RNAcentral describes it as "partial 16S ribosomal RNA". It matches the Rfam family "Bacterial small subunit ribosomal RNA", at positions 355 to 776 of the family's 1533-position model. The record is from RNAcentral.
UGGGGGAUAUUGCACAAUGGGCGAAAGCCUGAUGCAGCGACGCCGCGUGGGGGAUGAAGGCUUUCGGGUUGUAAACCUCUUUCGCUAUCGAACAAGGCCCGCUUAGGGUGGGUUGAGGGAAGGUGGAGAAGAAGCGCCGGCUAACUACGUGCCAGCAGCCGCGGUAAUACGUAGGGCGCGAGGGUUGUCCGGAAUUAGUGGGCGUAAAGGGCUUGUAGGCGGCUUGUUGCGCCUGCUGUGAAAACGCGGGGCUUAACUUCGCGCGUGCAGUGGGUACGGGCAGGCUUGAGUGUGGUAGGGGUGACUGGAAUUCCAGGUGUAGCGGUGGAAUGCGCAGAUAUCUGGAGGAACACCGAUGGCGAAGGCAGGUCACUGGGCCAUUACUGACGCUGAGGAGCGAAAGCAUGGGUAGCGAACAGG